RNAcentral lists this ribosomal RNA (1353 nucleotides) under uncultured bacterium. Its description in RNAcentral is "partial 16S ribosomal RNA". It matches the Rfam family "Bacterial small subunit ribosomal RNA", at positions 28 to 1381 of the family's 1533-position model. The record is from RNAcentral.
GAUGAACGCUGGCGGCGUGCCUAAUACAUGCAAGUCGAGCGAACAGACGAGGAGCUUGCUCCUCUGACGUUAGCGGCGGACGGGUGAGUAACACGUGGAUAACCUACCUAUAAGACUGGGAUAACUUCGGGAAACCGGAGCUAAUACCGGAUAAUAUAUUGAACCGCAUGGUUCAAUAGUGAAAGACGGUUUUGCUGUCACUUAUAGAUGGAUCCGCGCCGCAUUAGCUAGUUGGUAAGGUAACGGCUUACCAAGGCAACGAUGCGUAGCCGACCUGAGAGGGUGAUCGGCCACACUGGAACUGAGAUACGGCCCAGACUCCUACGGGAGGCAGCAGUGGGGAAUAUUGCACAAUGGGCGCAAGCCUGAUGCAGCGACGCCGCGUGGGGGAUGACGGCCUUCGGGUUGUAAACUCCUUUCGCUAGGGACGAAGCUUUUUGUGACGGUACCUAGAUAAGAAGCACCGGCUAACUACGUGCCAGCAGCCGCGGUAAUACGUAGGGUGCGAGCGUUGUCCGGAAUUACUGGGCGUAAAGGGCUCGUAGGUGGUUUGUCGCGUCGUCUGUGAAAUUCCGGGGCUUAACUCCGGGCGUGCAGGCGAUACGGGCAUAACUUGAGUACUGUAGGGGUAACUGGAAUUCCUGGUGUAGCGGUGAAAUGCGCAGAUAUCAGGAGGAACACCGAUGGCGAAGGCAGGUUACUGGGCAGUUACUGACGCUGAGGAGCGAAAGCAUGGGUAGCGAACAGGAUUAGAUACCCUGGUAGUCCAUGCCGUAAACGGUGGGCGCUAGGUGUGAGGGUCUUUUCACGACUUUCGUGCCGUAGCUAACGCAUUAAGCGCCCCGCCUGGGGAGUACGGCCGCAAGGCUAAAACUCAAAGGAAUUGACGGGGGCCCGCACGAGCGGCGGAGCAUGUGGAUUAAUUCGAUGCAACGCGAAGAACCUUACCUGGGCUUGACAUACACCAGAUCGCUGCAGAGAUGUAGUUUCCCUUUGUGGCUGGUGUACAGGUGGUGCAUGGUUGUCGUCAGCUCGUGUCGUGAGAUGUUGGGUUAAGUCCCGCAACGAGCGCAACCCUUGUCUUAUGUUGCCAGCAUUUGGUUGGGGACUCAUGAGAGACUGCCGGGGUCAACUCGGAGGAAGGUGGGGAUGACGUCAAAUCAUCAUGCCCCUUAUGUCCAGGGCUUCACACAUGCUACAAUGGUCGGUACAACGCGCAGCGACACUGUGAGGUGGAGCGAAUCGCUGAAAGCCGGCCUUAGUUCGGAUUGGGGUCUGCAACUCGACCCCAUGAAGUCGGAGUCGCUAGUAAUCGCAGGUCAGCAAUGCUGCGGUGAAUACGUUCCCGGGCCU